RNAcentral lists this ribosomal RNA (408 nucleotides) under uncultured bacterium. RNAcentral's name for it is "partial 16S ribosomal RNA". It matches the Rfam family "Bacterial small subunit ribosomal RNA", at positions 28 to 526 of the family's 1533-position model. The record is from RNAcentral.
GACGAACGCUGGCGGCGUGCUUAACACAUGCAAGUCGAACGAAGUGGCGGACGGGUGAGUAAUACGUGGGUAACCUGCCCUCCUUCUUGGGCUAAGCCUUGGAAACGGGGUCUAAUAACAACGAAAGGGGGAUGGGCUGGCGGCCUAUCAGCUUGUUGGUGGGGUGAUGGGCUACCAAGGCGGUGACGGGUAGCCGGCCUGAGAGGCAGACCGGGAACAGUGGGACGGCCAUACCGCCCAGGGGCCGAAGGGGUGGAGAAGUUGGGGAUAUGGCACAAAGGGCGAUAGCCUGAUGCAGCGGGGCCGCGGGGGGUAUGAGGGCUGUAAGGUUGUUAACGUGGUGCGCAAUCUGACCGUUAGGUGGAGAAGAAGCGCCGGCUAACUACGUGCCAGCAGCCGCGGUAAUAC